RNAcentral lists this ribosomal RNA (484 nucleotides) under uncultured bacterium. RNAcentral describes it as "partial 16S ribosomal RNA". It matches the Rfam family "Bacterial small subunit ribosomal RNA", at positions 30 to 507 of the family's 1533-position model. The record is from RNAcentral.
AUUGAACGCUGGCGGCAGGCCUAACACAUGCAAGUCGAGCGGAUGAAGGGAGCUUGCUCCUGGAUUCAGCGGCGGACGGGUGAGUAAUGCCUAGGAAUCUGCCUGGUAGUGGGGGAUAACGUCCGGAAACGGGCGCUAAUACCGCAUACGUCCUGAGGGAGAAAGUGGGGGAUCUUCGGACCUCACGCUAUCAGAUGAGCCUAGGUCGGAUUAGCUAGUUGGUGGGGUAAAGGCCUACCAAGGCGACGAUCCGUAACUGGUCUGAGAGGAUGAUCAGUCACACUGGAGCUGAGACACGGUCCAGACUCCUACGGGAGGCAGCAGUGGGGAAUAUUGGACAAUGGGCGAAAGCCUGAUCCAGCCAUGCCGCGUGUGUGAAGAGGGUCUUCGGAUUGUAAAGCACUUUAAGUUGGGAGGAAGGGCAGUAAGUUAAUACCUUGCUGUUUUGACGUUACCAACAGAAUAAGCACCGGCUAACUUCGUG